AGAGUUUGAUCCUGGCUCAGGAUGAACGCUGGCGGCGUGUCUAAUACAUGCAAGUCGAGCGAACGGACGAGAAGCUUGCUUCUCUGAUGUUAGCGGCGGACGGGUGAGUAACACGUGGAUAACCUACCUAUAAGACUGGGAUAACUUCGGGAAACCGGAGCUAAUACCGGAUAAUAUUUUGAACCGCAUGGUUCAAAAGUGAAAGACGGUCUUGCUGUCACUUAUAGAUGGAUCCGCGCUGCAUUAGCUAGUUGGUAAGGUAACGGCUUACCAAGGCAACGAUGCAUAGCCGACCUGAGAGGGUGAUCGGCCACACUGGAACUGAGACACGGUCCAGACUCCUACGGGAGGCAGCAGUAGGGAAUCUUCCGCAAUGGGCGAAAGCCUGACGGAGCAACGCCGCGUGAGUGAUGAAGGUCUUCGGAUCGUAAAACUCUGUUAUUAGGGAAGAACAUAUGUGUAAGUAACUGUGCACAUCUUGACGGUACCUAAUCAGAAAGCCACGGCUAACUACGUGCCAGCAGCCGCGGUAAUACGUAGGUGGCAAGCGUUAUCCGGAAUUAUUGGGCGUAAAGCGCGCGUAGGCGGUUUUUUAAGUCUGAUGUGAAAGCCCACGGCUCAACCGUGGAGGGUCAUUGGAAACUGGAAAACUUGAGUGCAGAAGAGGAAAGUGGAAUUCCAUGUGUAGCGGUGAAAUGCGCAGAGAUAUGGAGGAACACCAGUGGCGAAGGCGACUUUCUGGUCUGUAACUGACGCUGAUGUGCGAAAGCGUGGGGAUCAAACAGGAUUAGAUACCCUGGUAGUCCACGCCGUAAACGAUGAGUGCUAAGUGUUAGGGGGUUUCCGCCCCUUAGUGCUGCAGCUAACGCAUUAAGCACUCCGCCUGGGGAGUACGACCGCAAGGUUGAAACUCAAAGGAAUUGACGGGGACCCGCACAAGCGGUGGAGCAUGUGGUUUAAUUCGAAGCAACGCGAAGAACCUUACCAAAUCUUGACAUCCUUUGACAACUCUAGAGAUAGAGCCUUCCCCUUCGGGGGACAAAGUGACAGGUGGUGCAUGGUUGUCGUCAGCUCGUGUCGUGAGAUGUUGGGUUAAGUCCCGCAACGAGCGCAACCCUUAAGCUUAGUUGCCAUCAUUAAGUUGGGCACUCUAAGUUGACUGCCGGUGACAAACCGGAGGAAGGUGGGGAUGACGUCAAAUCAUCAUGCCCCUUAUGAUUUGGGCUACACACGUGCUACAAUGGACAAUACAAAGGGCAGCGAAACCGCGAGGUCAAGCAAAUCCCAUAAAGUUGUUCUCAGUUCGGAUUGUAGUCUGCAACUCGACUACAUGAAGCUGGAAUCGCUAGUAAUCGUAGAUCAGCAUGCUACGGUGAAUACGUUCCCGGGUCUUGUACACACCGCCCGUCACACCACGAGAGUUUGUAACACCCGAAGCCGGUGGAGUAACCUUUUAGGAGCUAGCCGUCGAAGGUGGGACAAAUGAUUGGGGUGAAGUCGUAACAAGGUAGCCGUAUCGGAAGGUGCGGCUGGAUCACCU
This 1540-nucleotide ribosomal RNA is filed under the name Staphylococcus aureus HBHO6042. Its description in RNAcentral is "16S ribosomal RNA". It matches the Rfam family "Bacterial small subunit ribosomal RNA". Lineage: Bacteria; Bacillati; Bacillota; Bacilli; Caryophanales; Staphylococcaceae. The record is from RNAcentral.